Non-coding RNA from Pelobates cultripes (western spadefoot toad), 306 nucleotides. Lineage: Eukaryota; Metazoa; Chordata; Amphibia; Anura; Pelobatidae. The record is from the annotation of a GenBank genome assembly.
AUAGAUAGAUAGAUAGAUAGAUAGAUUAUAGGUGGAUAGAAAGAUAAAUAAUAGGUGGAUACAUACAUAGAUAGAUAGAAAGAAAUAUAAUAGAUAGAUAGAUGGAUAGAUAGAUAGAUAGAUAGAUAGAUAGAUAGAUACUGUAUGGCUAGAUAGAUAGACAGAUAGACAGACAGACAGAUAGGUCAAUAGAUAGAUAGAUAGAUAGAUAGAUAGAUAGACAGAUAGAUACUGUAUGGCUAGAUAGAUAGACAGAUAGACAGACAGAUAGACAGACAGAUAGGUAGAUAGAUAGAUAGAUAGAUA